UACGUAAGGACCGAGCGUUGUUCGGAAUUAUUGGGCGUAAAGCGAGCGCAGGCGGUUUGACAAGUCAGAAGUAAAAGGCUGUGGCUCAACCAUAGUAGGCAUUUGAAACUGUCAAGCUUGAGUGCAGAAGGGGGGAGUGGAAUUCCAUGUGUAGCGGUGAAAUGCGUAGAUAUAUGGAGGAACACCGAUGGCGAAGGCAGCUCUCUGGUCUGUAACUGACGCUGAGGCGCGAAAGCGUGGGGAGCGAACAGG
This 252-nucleotide ribosomal RNA is filed under the name uncultured bacterium. RNAcentral's name for it is "partial 16S ribosomal RNA". It matches the Rfam family "Bacterial small subunit ribosomal RNA", at positions 524 to 776 of the family's 1533-position model. The record is from RNAcentral.